AUUCGCCGAUUCGCCUUGAGUUGAUAUGGCUCAGAAUAACGCUGGCGGCGUGCCUCAGACAUGCAAGUCGAACGAUUAAACUUUCCUUCGGGAAAGAUAUAAAGUGGCGCACGGGUGAGUAACACGUAAGUAAUCUACCUUCGAGUGGGGAACAACAUCGGGAAACCGAUGCUAAUACCGCAUAAUGCAGCGGCACCUAAUGGUGACAGUUGUUAAAGGAGCAAUUCGCUUGAAGAGGAGCUUGCGGCAGAUUAGCUAGUUGGUAAGGUAAUGGCUUACCAAGGCUACGAUCUGUAUCCGGUCUAAGAGGACGGUCGGACACACUGACACUGAAUAACGGGUCAGACUCCUACGGGAGGCAGCAGUCGGGAAUUUUGGGCAAUGGGCGAAAGCCUGACCCAGCAACGCCGCGUGAAGGAUGAAGUAUUUCGGUAUGUAAACUUCGAAAGAAUGGGAAGAAUAAAUUGACGGUACCAUUUAUAAGGUCCGGCUAACUACGUGCCAGCAGCCGCGGUAAUACGUAGGGACCAAGCGUUGUUCGGAUUUACUGGGCGUAAAGGGCGCGUAGGCGGCAAAUUAAGUCAUCUGUGAAAUCUCCGAGCUUAACUCGGAAAGGUCAGGUGAUACUGAUCUGCUAGAGUGCGGAAGGGGCAAUCGGAAUUCUUGGUGUAGCGGUGAAAUGCGUAGAUAUCAAGAGGAACACCUGAGGUGAAGACGGGUUGCUGGGCCGACACUGACGCUGACAGCGCGAAAGCC
RNAcentral lists this ribosomal RNA (756 nucleotides) under uncultured bacterium. RNAcentral describes it as "bacterial SSU rRNA". It matches the Rfam family "Bacterial small subunit ribosomal RNA", at positions 1 to 761 of the family's 1533-position model. The record is from RNAcentral.